CCCUUAGAUGUUCUGGGUCGCACGCGCGCUACACUGAUGCAUUCAACGAGUUUCUUCCUGGUCCGAGAGGAAUGGGUAACCUUUUGAAAGUGCAUCGUGAUAGGGAUAGACUAUUGCAAUUAUUGGUCUUCAACGAGGAAUUCCUAGUAGACGUAGUUCAUCAGACUGCAUCGAUUACGUCCCUGCCCUUUGUACACACCGCCCGUCGCUCCUACCGAUUGAAUGCUCAGGUGAGCCAUUCGGACUUUCAUCAUGCUGGUUUCCAGUUUUGAUGAAGGAAAGUCUUGCGAACCUUAUCAUUUAGAGGAAGGAGAAGUCGUAACA
RNAcentral lists this ribosomal RNA (324 nucleotides) under uncultured eukaryote. RNAcentral's name for it is "partial 18S ribosomal RNA". It matches the Rfam family "Eukaryotic small subunit ribosomal RNA", at positions 1470 to 1796 of the family's 1831-position model. The record is from RNAcentral.